AAUCGUCCCCUCGAGCGCCUCCCAGCUGACAGGCUAACCUGAAAUCUGCCAGCCAUAGUUCUAGCUUGGUCUCGUCGUUGUACUUUGCAAUGCUGGUCGGGGGUCGGAACGGGCUGGGCAGCGGCGUGCUGCGGAUUGCCCUGCUGAACACCCGCGGGCCCGGUGGUUCCGGGGCCAUCCGGUCCUCAUCGCUGUCGUACCUCCCGCCGCGGUGGGCGCUGUAACCACGCUCUUUUGCGUCCCCAUACCGACAGCUAUGAUUCUUGUCGAUGUCGCACCGUGCGUCGUGUCGUCAUUGGUUGUCGACGGGGAGGACGAGCGUGGCCUUUUUCCCUCGAGGGGGUGGCUGCUGAUGGACCGAUACCUCCUUUUCGUUGUGGGUCGGCUCAUCACGCUUUUCUGUGGCCGCUCCUCGACGUCGAGAGGCCGAGCUCUCGGCCUGCUGAACUGCCGCCACUUGGAGCAGAGUCUGCACCUCGUCCCGAAUGCGUCGUGCUUUGGAGUCUGACGGUUCGGGCAUAUUACGCAGCAGCAUUGUCACCGCCACGACGUUCUGGCCUGCUCGAGGGAAACGGCUGACAGGCUGCUCAGGCUCUCCGUCUCCGACGAUCUGCUGGUGCACCUCUCGAGCCCGUAUGCAGACACUUCCGCCGGGUGGGUAUGGUAGGUCCUGCUUAAGGAUUUGCUCGAGCAAGACGAGGCGCUCACGAUCUUCGUCAAGCUUUGUCUUGAGCUCUCGUAGCUGCGCAAGUUGCGCGGCUCUGUCUUCUUGUGGAGCGGGGUCGACUUGACCGUCAUUCCCAGGCGUCCUGGGGUCUUCCCUUGCUGCGGGGGCUCGACCGCCAGCAACAGCAUCCUAUGUCUCGUCGGUGGUUUCCACCGCCCCGUUGAUAUGGAAGCAUUCCCUAGUAGGGUCGUAACUGUCGGUCUAGGAGUCGGAGUCUGGCUCGACGGCGUAGAAACAUCCACCUCCCUCCACUAACAGGCGUUGCCUGAGUAAGGUGAUCGUGUAUCGCCCAGGCCCUAGGCGACGGAGACCUCAUACCUGGGAGAAGUCCGGCAGCUCGGAUGUCUGUCGCUGCACUCCAGAGUCACGUGGGAGGACCAUUGGUCUCUCCACGUACGUCUGGGCGUUUGGACAUAUCGUCCUGGCGAGCGAUGCCGCGGCAUUGUCCAGACCGAACGGCAACGCUAUUCUUGGGGCGAACAGCCCAUGAGGGAGUAGCCUAGCGGUGGGGGAGAGCGCGCGGGGCGCGUCACCUCCUGUCGUCGUGCAAUCCUCAUGGCUCUGAGCCGUCAUACCCGCGGUUUCGGCGUGCGGGGCUAUCGGCUCCUGUGCCACCUCCUGCCUAGCACGAACUGUCGGUCGUGAUGAGGUAGAAGGGCGAUGGCGGUGCUGUCCACGCCUCUUCUUGGGCGGGGAGGCGUGGUGGCGAGGACGUCUUGGGGCCCUCAACCGUGUUGGCACAACGCGGGCUCCUCCCGGUCCUUUGAUCGAGAGUAGGAUCAUGUCAUAGCCGGAGCCAGUAGACAUGAACUCGAGACUCCCAAACCAAAUCACCGUGGAGCGUGGAAUCGGCGAAGUGAGAGUGGCCAUCUGGAAAGGAAUGGGAAAUCGGUGAAAAAACACGCAGGACCCCUACCUGGCGCGCCAACUGUCGGUGUUUUCCCCUCGAGGGGUCACACCAACGAGUAAAUUUGUAUGCGUGGUCCCUUUUCCAGAUGGUGAUGCAAAAAGACACAAAGAUUUAUCCUGGUUCGGGCAAGAGAAGGCCCUACGUACAGCGGGGGGAGAGUUUGUAUUAUUCUGCACCUAAGUGCUUGUACAGGGGUGAAUACAAGCGGGUAUGAACUAGGAUGGAGGUGGAGUAUGGGAGCUCUACUACGUGUGUGUUGUGUGAUGUUGUGUUGUAUCGCCCUUGUAUCCGCUCCCGGGCCUCCCCUUUUAUAGUUCCAAGGAGAGACCUAGGGUACAUGCAUAGGCGUCACAGUAGGGGUCGAUAGAGGCAUGGCACGCUGACCUACUCGAGGCCUCCGUACCGGUGUGGUUUCGAGCCAUCUUGUCCUAGUAGCUUGAUGAUGAUUACGCGUGCCUCGGUAUCCCGCUCUGCGCGCCGUCCUGGGUUGGUUUAUCUGUUGUAUGCUUGUACGUCGCGGCAGCGUCUGCGUUGGAGUGGUUGAGGUGCUGUCACCCGUCGCCCAACUCUUCUCCAGGAAGGAAAUGUGCCUACUCGAGGGUCGGAUGUUGUAUAAUGCCUUGCCAGCCAGGGCGCUGACCUUAGACGUCUCGAGGGGGGUCUUGAUUAGACGUUCCGACCCACUCCCUGCGUCCUGCCACGUUCUGGCUUAUUUAGUGGGGAAGGCUGCAAAAAGAAUGACGGGACGGGUGCCUGUUCCCUAUCACGCUUCCUGUGACCUGCGAGUUAGGUGAGAACGCGGAAGGCGCAUUAAAUGCCCUGGUUCCUGUGCCCGCGUCAGGCGACGGGCGGCGUCCUUGCGCUCGACGCCUUCCAAUUUGCUCGAGCCAGUUUCCGUAUUCGACGGUAGCCUGCGCUCGAGCUCUGAUCGAUUCGCAGGACGCCCAUUCCGUCUUCGAGGCUGCAGUCAUCGAGGCCCGUACGUGUGACUGGGUAGAGCGUCGAGUUGGAGGCCUCGACUUGCGUACGGGUGUUCUUGUUAUGCACAUCAGUUAGGGUACCCCUUACUGAUAUCCUCGACAAUGCUUGGCUUAGUUAGAUUGGAAUUAUAUACAUGUUUAGGAUCGUAUAGCGUUUAUCCAUGUGUACAGUGGGUAAAUGAUAAGUACUGUGUAGGCGUGGUGCCUAUACCGUAUUUAUCUGCGAUUGUACCCUAUAUACUAGAUCGCAGGGUAGUUCAUGGUAGUGAUAGCUCCAUUGAUUCUUAUAUAGUCCCCCUCUCGUGUAUAGGGCUGGUAGAGCAACAUUAUUACAGGGGAGUGAUUGCUAUGUUUCUCAUCUUCCUUGAUAAUAUCACUAUGCAUGGGCGUAGUUCUAUCUCGCAAUGAUUGCCAAGUAUAAUUGCACUAACUAUGAUAUGCUAGACUUUAUAGUUAAGAAUAACUUAGGAAAUAUUCUUGUAGUUCGUCCUAAUUCCAUGCUAAUGACUUGCUAGAAUAUCUAUUGAGGUGCUUAUCAUAUUUAUAUGUGGCUAAGUUAUGCUGAUCAGAUUAAUUAUCUUUGUCACCAUUCAUACUUUAUCUGUAUCUUAUGUGACACUUAUCCCUGUAUGAAAGAGAUAGAUAAAUGCUCUCAAUUAUACAUGCAAUGAUAGAUACUCAAUUCUAUAUUCUAUUCCAUAAUCAACAUUGAUGAUUAGAAAUCCCUUCGCAGUGGUAAAAAUAUAAAUAACGAUACCUGGAAUACUUCCCGGUUAAAAUGCUACAUCGGUAUUAAUCUGUGCGCUUGCAGAUCUCAUUUAUUAUUUAUUUAGAAGAGCAAUUGCAUAUUUCAAUACCGCAUCUCUCAUGUCAUGCUAGGGAUGACAACUUGGCUUAUGUGGCAUCAGGGAUAGGUUUGGCAUUUUUGGCGUCGUUAUCAGAAUUAGAAAACUAAGUCUACUUUUGGUAGUGACGGUAAGAAUGCCCAACACUCUAGCUGCCUCUUCAACCUAAGCGAGGUGGACACGAUGCAAAUAGGUUAGCGCGAACAACCAAUGAAAUGACGACGAUGACAGUAAGGUCUAAGAAUCUUACCCCACAGGAAGGAUGGUCCUCCUCCCAGUCCCACGAUCGACCGGCCUCGAGCCGCCAUGCGUCGAGGCCCUUGGCUGUUCCAAGACGGGAGCAUGCCUCGGCUUCGCUCUUCCUUCUGGACGAUCCUCAGGGCUCACGCUUCUUUGACACCCUCCUCCCUGGCUCAGGGCCACCGCGGCAGCGCGGCCCCGUUCUAGAGGUCUUGACCUGAUAGCCUGGACCGGACGCUUGGGGAGGUCGUGGCAGCAGGUCGGCCUGACCCCGGGUAGUGGCAGGGGGCGUGUCGGCACGCGGGCAGCGAGGCGACGUCUCCCUCCGGCGACCCUCAUGUUCCCCGCCUUGCGAUCCCUUGGGAGCCACCAUGCGCGACAAGGAAACGUCGGCAUGCGGAGGGGCCUGCAGAAUCCGGUCGAGGCGGGCCGCCAUCCCCUCAGAAUCAUCAUCAUCAUCGAAGUCAUCAUCGUUGUCCUCAUCAGGAGAGUCCUCCUCGGGCCUCCCCUCACGCCUCACCUGGCCCCGACGCUCCUCGAGCGCCUGCCGCUCGAGGUUCUUCCUCUUCUCCUUUUUCUCCACGUCUCGCGCGGUCUUGUGCUUCUCGACAGAAGCACGCCUCGUCUCGUGCUCGGCAUCAUCCUCUUUCACUGGGGGCCUGGAGGACCUAGCGUCGAUCGCCCCCUUGCAAAACAAACCAAAAUCUCAAGAAAAUUAGAAAGGAAGCGGCGGAACCGAAAGCAAGGGCCAAGUGGCAGUGGCUUGAGAGGCUUACUAGGUCAAAGUAGCCUUCAUCAAGCUUCAUGGGGAAGGUAUUCACGUGCUCAGGCUGGAAGUCACCCGAGACGGCCGCCCUGACCCUAGCAGUGACCUCCUCAUCUGGGAGCGCCUCGUUCGACAUUCGGCACGCUUCAAGGUCCCAGGACGGAGCGCAGGGGGCAUCUUGUCCAUCCUCAGCGGUCGAGACAUCAACGAAAGGACCCGUCGAUGGUGGACCGCUGAGAGAACGAGAGCCGCGGUCAGGCCUUCCUCGCGUAGACACUUUAGGGCCUUGAGAAGGGGGCAAAGCCGAGACUGAUGGGUCUUGAUGACGACGUACUUCCAAUCUUCAGGGCGUUCCUUGAUAAGUCGCCCGGUGUAGGUGGGGCAGAGUCCAUCGUCGUUGUAGAGAUAGAACCACUGAGAGUCCCACUAUGCAUGGUUCGAUGUCAGCCCAGUAGGGAUAUACUCUCUAUGCUCAUCCGCGCGGCCCGUCUUCUGGACCAGGUUGAGGCAGUCGGCCCGCACCAGUUUCCUCACCACAGUGGCCCCGCCAGGAGCGUGGAACAGCUCACCCCGGAAGAGGUGGAGCCACAACUCCCAGUGCGGCAUCACUCCCAUGUAGCCUUCACACGCCGCGACGGAGAUUGUGUUGGGGGAGAAAUGCUGGAGCUCGAUGUCGUAGUGAUGAAGGAGGGCCCUCAUAAAGCGGCUCGGAGGAGACCCGAGCCCGUGGUGAUGGAACGUGAUGAAGGAGACGACGUAGCCUUCGGGUGGGCUCGGCUCCCGAUGCUCCGCCGGCAGCGUGAUCCAUUCUGGCCACGUCGAGGAAGCGAGGGGGCGGAGAAGCCCCUCCUUCUCCAAAUCCCGUAGCCGGCGCUCCGUCACGGUCGAUGGACGCCACUUGUCAGCGGCGAUGAGUCUCACCGGCAUCGUCACAAGCAAGGAAGGCGCGACAGAAGGUGACCCUACCCUGACUAUCCCCCCUCUCUAAGCUCGGUUUGUCUUGGUACGUAGGAAGAUGCGAAGAGAAAGGAAAGGAGGGUGAUGGCGGAAUGCGGAAGGGGAAACAGUGAGUUGGAACCUCGAUAUAUAUAGGCGCACCGCAACGGAUAGAUCUGACAUUCACGGUAACCCCCACCAUCAAUGCGCCGCCUAACGGUCCCGUUUCGCCAGCAACGGGACGUUACGAAUUCCACCCAACGGGUAAUACCACAAUAGCUAUCCUAAAAAGACGCGCCCAAUGGGCAAGAAAACAAACCACCGCGGCGUUUCCUUCCAUCACAAGAUAAGUCUGGCGCGCACCGCCGGCAGAACCUCAAGGGAGCACAGACUGGCCCACCGACUGGGUUCAACGGUCGCCCUCGAGUACCUGAGUCAGGGACACCUAGCUGGAGGUUGAAAACGAGGCAUGCCUCGAGAACCCGCUAGGAGUAUCCAAGGCAGAGGCAAGUAGGUCAUGAGGAAUCCCCACGGAGGGAGGCAUCGAGCUGCUGGACUCUAUCGAACGAGACCGGUAUCCCUGACCACGCUAGCCUAGCUUUAACGAGAGCGCCUCUGGACUACAGCCAUCCCCAUCGAACGGGGCAUGGGUUCUCGCUUGGAUCACCCAAUGAAAGCUCACCAAGAACGAUGAUGAUCGCUCCAUCGGGAGUACAUCACGCUCCUCGACCCGAAAGGGAAAACCAGCGAACGCGAGUUGAAGACGACGGGAACCAUGAGCGAACAAGGCCCAGGGGCUCCAUCCUAGAAUUAACGUCCCUCAGCUAAAGGGAGGCCGAAGACGCACAAACCCGAAAAGCAAUACAGCCCUCGAAGGAGUCCAUGGCCUCGGGGGCUACCCCUGCGGGGGUCGCUCGCGCGACUCCCACGGAAAUACGACCAUCAGUAAAACCCCUGCUCAAGCACAAGUGUUCAAACAAUGGCUUGGGGGCUACUGUCGAGGGUGUCAAUAGGGGGGUAUCCCAGCAAACAUUCCUGAUGAAAAGAUCCAAAGACAACUUGAGGGUUAGGCUCAACAAUUCAGUGUAAACAUAAGCUCGUGGACGCCAUGGCUCGACCCACCACGCGAUGUCGACCCUGGCCUCGAAUACGGAAAUACAGUUGAGGGAAUGGACAAGGGCUCGAUAGCUGGUGACCGUCGAUUACGGAAACAAGCGUCGAGCGAAUCGACAGGCCUCGAGCGCAAAAGCGUUCCCCCGCCGCCUAUCGCAAGUACGGGAGUCAGGGCAUUUAAUGCGACUGACAUGCUCCCACCUAACCCGACAAUCACGAGAAAUGUGAUAGGGGAACGUGCACCCGACAAAUCUCCACUUUCCCAGCUUUAUCCCCAAAACCAGAAAAAGGUACACGCAGGUACAGCGCCAUAGGCGUAAUAUCCCAUCAAAGGACCCCUCGAGGCGAUAAGGUCAGCACUCCUGUACGCCGAGAGCCAAUGAUACACCUGGACCCUCGAACAUGCCCGCUCCUUCCCAGAGAAGGGUUAGGCGUCGGAAGUCAGCGCUCCAACCACCCCAGACAUGACGACUGCUGCGAUGUAUAGGCAUGCAUGUACACGAGCCAAUACCAGACGAUGCACAGGGGAUAAGCUCAGGAGGUGCACGCACCAUCAUCACCAAAGUACAUCGUAACAAGACGGCACGAGGCCACGCCGGUACAGAGGCCUCGAGUAGGUCAGCGCCAUACCUCUAUCGAGGCCUAUUCAAGACACCCAUACCUUGUAACCUAAGCCUCCCCUUGGAACUUUAAAAGGGGACACUGGGGACAAUACAAAGGGACAACUCACAUAGAACAUCAUCCAUACACACCCACAACCGGCUAGGACUUAGAAUUCUCAGCUGAAUCCGCUUGUAUUUGCCCCUAUACAAGCACUUAGGUGCAAAAUAAUACAUACUCUAUCCCCCGCUGAAUGUAGGGCCUUCCUUUGCCCGAACCAGGAUAAACGCUUGUGUCACUCUUGUAUAACCAUCCGGAAAGAAGAGCAUGCACACAAAUUCACUCGUUGGUGUUGUCCCCCGGGGUCAAAACACCGACAAGCCUAAAGAAAAAGAAGGAAAUUAGACAAUAAAUUGUUGUGGUUCAAUAAAUAAAACAAACCAAAGUUUUAGAGUAGCAUCCCUUGGCGCACAUAUUUUAGUUUGUGGUCUGAAACUAAUAAGGAAAGAAAAUGGCACGAGUUGAGACAGAAUUUCACUUUACUGCAUGAGAACCCCACAGUGAAAGAUGCACCGUCACAGUACCAGACCUUCACUCUAUUCAAGUUAUAGAAAAAUAUAAUGAAGAUGACAUAACCACAAACAAUAACUAAAUAAUCAAUAAAAAUAUACUGUUUUGGUGUCAGCAAAACCCUUGCAUGAAAACUUAUCUGCAAUAUCUUAAGUUAAUCCUUGAAAACUACAGAAAAGAGGGCACAAUAGCAGCUUCGACAUUGCACCAUAAAUUGCCACAGGCACAUCCUAUCAAAUUCUCAUACACUAUCAUCAGUUGAGACAUAUCUUUUUUUUUCCUAAUUUGUGAUUGCUUUUUCAUUGGCCAAUUCAGAAUGGAAGUUCAUUAACUAAUGCGGUUGUUCCUAAACUAUCAGUGUGAUUACACAUUACUAAUGAACAUCACGAAAACUUAUAAGAAAAGAUGAGCAAAGCAUCCACAGCUUACAGGAAUGUGGAACCUAUCUACAGAAAUUAAACGAAAAGAAAACACAUUCACCAAAGAUGGAAACUAUCUUUAAAUAAGCAAAUUUGAGAGGAUCUGACGUGAAUAUAUAACGCCUCCUACUUCUACCAUAAUCUAAUUAACCUUUAGCAUCAAUAAGGCCCUAAUUAUAAGGUCAAAGGUCAUUUUCUCACGGGAAAUAGCCAGACAAGAUCAAAGGGAUAGGGAGAAGAAAUUUCAGUUCUCAAUGAGGAACAAGAGAUUGUCCUCAUCAGCAAACUUGGGGAGUAGUAUGGCCUUUGAUCUGUCCGACCUUUGGCCAACGGAGAGCAGGCGCGGCAGGCGCCGCCAGAGAGCAGGUCUGGCGUGCCCACGCGGGUCAUGAUCGCCACCAGAACACGAGGAGGGGCAGGACGAAGACGACACGGGACGGGCCAUGGCAGCGGCGGCGGCAGCGCGGCCUUGCGGCGCGAUGGGGGCGGAGUGCGGGGGGCACAGGCCACGGGGUAUUGGCAAUUUCUUCCUUUACCACCGUAGAGACGGGCCGAGGGAUCGGGGUUCGGGGAUUGGGAUUUUGGGAAGGAAGGCGAGGGCGAGGGUUGAGGGAUCACGGUCCCACCUGCUGAAGCGAUGGGGGUGGAGUGUGGGAUCGCACGGGGGCACAAUAAGGCGACCCAUCAAAAGUCACACCAAAUAAUAGUCUUAGUUUUGUUCUUUUUAGUUAUAGGAGAUAGCUCUACUUCCAUUGAUUUGAUGAAAAAAGGUUGGGGCCACCGUGGUUUUCCGACCGAACAUGAACCUGACACGUCAUCUAGCGAAGCAUCUGCACUAGUCACGAGGGACGAAGUCAAAAAAAAAAAUAGGAGGAUAAACAAAAGUGCUAUAUCUACUUAGCUCUAAUAUAAGCCCUCACAAUAGAAAAAAUAUAUUAGCUUAAUGUAGUCUUAUAUUAAAACAUCGAUCAAUGACGAAAUUUAUAAAAUAUAUCUAAAAUAUAAAGGUUUCAGCUCACUCUAUCUUAUAAAUUUGUGUCUAAAAUUAUAAAAAAGCGCUAAAAGCUUCACUGGCCCAGCAGCGGCGACUCACAAUCACUCAAAUUUUGUGGAAACAAUUUCCUAAAAUUUCUAAACCCACUGUACCCUCGCCAACAAAAACAAAAUCAGCGCCACGCACGCGUCCACCUGCACGAAUCGCGACGCAAGAUCUGUCCACCAAACUUGCCCUCCGUGAAGCACAUAGCGAGCCGCCGCUCAACAGUCAUCCCUUUCCCCUCCUCCAUCUCGGUCACACGCAUACGCACCUAGGAGAGACACCGAGCGAGCGAAGCCAUGGCUCUCCGUACCCUGGCAUCGAAGAAGGCCCUAUCCUUCGCGCUCGGCGGCGCGGCCCGGCCGUUGGCGGCGUCCGCGAGGGGGGUGACGACGGUCACGCUCCCCGACCUCUCCUACGACUUCGGCGCGCUGGAGCCGGCCAUCUCGGGGGAGAUCAUGCGCCUGCACCACCAGAAGCACCACGCCACCUACGUCGCCAACUACAACAAGGCGCUGGAGCAGCUCGACGCCGCCGUCGCCAAGAGCGACGCCUCCGCUGUCGUCCAGCUCCAGGGCGCCAUCAAGUUCAACGGCGGCGGUGAGUCACGGACCUGUACUCGCCCCACAUCUAUCCCCUUCUAGGGUACCGUACUUGUUUUAUUGGAGGGGAUUAUUAUCACAUCAUGGCGGGGCGAAUUUGAUGGGUUCGAUGGGGUUUUAGUGCGCUUUUGUUGCCGAUCUCGAGUGAUCUGAGUGCGGGAGGGGAGUAUGUUGACCUCCCUGAUUUCGGGUUGGCCCUAUGCCCUGAGGUUUUCAGGUGGGUGUGCUGGAGAUUUUCUCAUAGAUCACGAAUGCAGAUUCAGAUGGACCAUCCAAGGCUCGAUGGUAUCCAAUUAGGAUACAUUUUGAGUUUUCCCCUCUCUAUUAUUAGUGCUUGUGUAACAGUCGUAUUUUCUAGAUGGGUUCGUGGUACCAUAAGGGUUGUCUUGUCUCUAUUUUUUGUUUGUUUGAUGUCUCGUCUCUGUUAUUAUCAUGUGGUUUUGGUAUUGUUUAUUUUGCUGCAUCUUGCUGUAUGACUCUUCUUUACUGUAUUGUUCUCAUGUUCAUAAGAACUGGUUUAGUUCUUCUUGUUGUGCAGGAAUCAGUGUUAUUUGGUUGGCUAUUACUGUUAGAGCUGCAGUUGCUGAUGUUCAGACCUAUAAAGUGGUUUCAUGGGAUGUCCUCACACUUGUGCACUAUGAGCUACAUUUAGUUCCUUUCCUGCUCGAGCAUACCCCUAACUUUCCUGAGGUUAUGGCUAUAUUGUACUCCCUGCGUUCCAAAUUGUAAGUCGUUCAGGCUUUUCUAGGUACAUAGCUUUUGCUAUGCAUCUAGAUAUACAUUAUGUCUAGAUCUAGAAAAGCUAGAACGACUUACAAUUUGGAAUGGAUGGAGUACUUGUUUGUGGAACACUGAACCUGUUCAUUUUGUUUUGUAAGCUGCAGCCUGUUAAACCCUUCUCAUUAGUAAAGUUGGUUUAAGCACAUCUUGUUGGGCUAGAUUGAUGAGUGGUGAAGAAGCCCCUUACCACUUGUUGGCAAGAUGCUCAUUGGCCUAUUUUACUUGUUCAUGAGCAUGGCAUGCUAACCUUCUGAUUUUGUUCACAUGUAACCUUUUGGGAAGAUUUCCUUGUAUUGAGAUUGCCAACUAAUUGUUCCUCUGCUCUAGAAUUUUACUAAGAUAAUUAUCAUCUUUCAGGUCAUGUGAACCAUUCAAUCUUCUGGAAGAACCUCAAGCCUAUUAGCGUAAGUAUCAUGUUAAGAAAAUUGGUUGUUUCAACUGUGAUUCUUUUCCUUUUUUGUGUUGUUUUAUGAAAAAUUGCUGCAUAUUGGAUGCUUUGCAGGAAGGUGGUGGGGAGCCACCUCAUGGGAAACUUGGCUGGGCCAUUGAUGAGGAUUUUGGUUCGUUUGAAGCACUUGUAAAGAAGAUGAAUGCAGAAGGCGCUGCUUUACAGGGAUCUGGAUGGGUGGUGAGUACACUAUGCUUUGUUUAUGUUUAUCCAGAAUAGUCGAAGAUGUGUUCUGUUGACCAUGAAUCUCAUGCUUCCCUGCAGUGGUUAGCUUUGGAUAAAGAGGCAAAAAAGCUUUCAGUUGAAACUACAGCUAAUCAGGUGAAAGAUGUUUUCCAAUCAGUUUAUUCUUCCUAUGAUACAGCACACGGCUAUGCCCAGUUCUCAUUCAGAGUUGUGUUUUGUUCCAUAGGCAAGCUUAACAGACACAUGCCAUCUUGCAUGCUGCAAUUGUUGUUGAUUGUGAUUAUAUGCAGGCCUUCCAUUUGUAUGCAUGCUUAAGAAAGGUAUCACUAAUAUGAGAUAAGAAAGAAUUAGAAAAUAUAGUCAUCAAAAUAAACAUCUAAUGGCAAAUGAUAGUUGAAUUGCUUAUGAUAUUGUAUCAAAAAGGGUGCGGUUGGAGACCAAGUGAUUUACUUUAAUCUGUUAACCAAUCUGUAAUUUAUUUGCUGACCAAAAUAAUUUUUAUAACUAUAAGGCCAUUAGCAGGGCCACUGAUUUCCUUUUCUUUGUUGAACUAACCCCUUUUUCUUAGAGAACUGAUCCCAUCCCCACCCUCCCUCUUUCUUUCUCAUUCUGUGGUUUCUUUGUGGGGAUGCAGCUGGGUUCAGAGACAAAGUGGUGCCUUGUGCUUCCUGCCUUCUAGUUGUUAGGCCAAUCCCAAUGGAUAGUUUCAUUUUGAUGUUUUCGAGUGUGCCACAUCAGCAAAUUACAUGUGAUCAGCGUUAUCAAGUCGUCUGACUGAUCAUGGUUAGUAGGGCUUAUUGGUGCCAUGGUGAUCAGUUAUGCACUGCAAUUAGUUUGUCUGGUCGGUGCCAUGUGACUAGGGUUGAUUAGACGAUGAAAACCAUUUGUUUAAUGUCCGAAAGUUGCAUCUUUGCUUUGCCACCCUUUGUUAGAGUAAUGUGGCCAUGUCCAUCUGGUUAAUGCUUGUUGACCAUAAUGUUUUUCCUAAACCUUAACCACUAAUGGGGUGUAGAAGAGUACUCAACAUUGGUGCGAGCUUUGCUGUAAGGGCCUGUUUGUUUCCCUGUUCGCGUGGCAACCUGCGAUGGACGCGCGAUUCGCAAUCGCCCGCAGCGUGGAGUCCGAAAAAAAUGAACUGGAGCCUACGAUUCUCAAAAUGCAGCCGCAGAGCCGUGUUCGCUCAAUCACGACGCGCGAUUAAGAAUCACGGAAACAAACAGGGUCUAAGAUAAAGAUAUGGUUGCAGCAAACGGCGAAAAGUUUUUCCUUUUCCUUUUCGUCAAUUUUUGGAGAACUUGUCAAGAGUGUAGUAUCUCACAUUUGUGCUGCAUUGAACUGCUGUGAAAUUGUGGACUCUCUGAGCUUCAUCAUCCUACCUUCAGUCAUGCAUGUGUUCUGUCACAUGCUGGUUUCAACACUAAGUUUCGUAUUUCAUCUUUUUAGAUCGUACAAAAGGUGGCUUCAUGCGCAUAGUUGAUUUUGAUCUUGCAGGAUCCUCUGGUGACUAAAGAUGCAAGCUUGGUUCCGCUGUUGGGGAUUGAUGUCUGGGAGCAUGCAUACUACCUGCAGGUAAUCUUGUUGAUGCUCCUAAACUGAUAAUGACUUAACACUGUUGCCUGAGUCAUAUGGAAAGACCGCAUCAAAUAUUGUUACUGACUCCUUGCAUCUUGCCAUCAUAUUGGUUAAACAACCCCUAAUAUUAGCAACUUAUGAAUUUAUUAUAUCAUUAUUGUGGUUUAUAUAUCAAAGGGAAUUUGGUUUUUCUGCCCUUACUAUAGAGUCUAAUUAUGAUUUUACCCCUAUUACCCUCGUGCUUUAAUUUCAAGCUGCUGUUUGCCCGUUUUGGACGUUACUUAUCGAUGGAUUAAGUGAUGAAAAAUAGAAAAAAUAAAACAAAGAAUGCCAAGUACCAAAAUUCCCCUUAUCUUUUCACCCUCGCUCCUCACUCGUUCAGUCCAAGGCCACAUGUUUUCUGUUCCCAGGCGGCGGCGGCUGCUUGGAGAGGUGCGUGGAGUGGCAGCGGCUCGCGCGGCACAGGGCAGGCUGAGUCUUAUUGGGUGUGGGGUGCUGCGGCAGUGUCAAAUCCCGACCAUGCCGUGGUGUGUGUGGCGCGCUGCGGCAGUGUCAAAUCCUGACCACGCUGUGGUGUGUGUGUCCACAUCGCCUGACAGCGCACAGGCUUUCCAAUGGGGACAACAAACAAGUGGGAGAGGGAGCUCUUUUGCUCUCGCUCACUGAUUCUUGGCUGGAGCUGCUGUAGGUGCGAGCGCCCUCCUCCACCGGCAGGUGUUGGUGUGGUUAGACUGUUGCCCCUGGGGGCCUGGACCAAGCUCAAGGCUCAAGCAUUAGCUGACUGAGGAAGUCCGAUUGUAGUGUCCUGGCCAACUGACAGUUCUUCCUGUCUGUCAUUAACCGGAUGAACCAGAUCAUGUGGAGCUGGUGGAUCUCGCAAGUGGUAGACGCUUAAGAGUAAGUUCUGGUUAGGCGGAGGUCACGGGCUGUGUUGAACUUGUACUUGUGGUAAUUAAUCGAUUAAUUAAUUACAAGAGACAGGAGCAGAUUGUUUUGCUUUUUUACUCAUUUCGACGAUUGAGCGAGAUGGCAGUCUGUUUUUUUUCCUGGACGCAUGUCAACCAUUUCACCUAAUUGCUCGGUGGUGAAAUGAAGUGUGAGUGAUUGCACACUAGUUGAUUUUCCAAUUUGAUGUUAAAAUAAUGGUAAAAUCACAUGGUACUCAGAAAGUUAUAUGUAAAUUUGUAUGGACAAACUCUUUUUACGUCUAAAUUGACACCGUUAAGUCCUUUUAAUAGAAUAGGAGAAAACUCGAUCUUUAAUUUGAAAACACAGGGGUAAAAUCAUAAAGUUAUAGAUGGUAAAAUCACCAUUUGCAUUGGAAGCGGUGGCAUGACCACAAAAGCAGCAUACAUCUAAGUAUAUAGAAGUAACAGUUGAAUAGAAUUCUCGGAUAACUUGUCAUGCAUGUAGAAGGUCAAUUUGACAAAGAUAUUUCGAAGGUGAUUGCAGUUUUCGCUGAAAUACAAGAUAAUCUUUAUUUUAUCCUUUCUGGUCUAUGGGGAGCCAUGGCCCCCCCAGCUCUAACAACGAAUUGAAAUUGAUCUUGUGUUCUGCAUUCUGAGUAGACUUUGGUUCAAAUUCAUUUGUCUCCCAAUAUCAGUGUCAGUUUUCUCGUGAGUCAGUCUUGAAUAGACUUUUUUUGUCUUGCUAAGUGAUCAUUGCUUUCUUGGUUGCAGUACAAGAAUGUUAGGCCGGAUUACCUGAACAACAUCUGGAAGGUGAUGAACUGGAAAUAUGCUGGAGAGGUGUACGAAAAUGUUCUUGCUUGAAUUGUCUUAAUGGACAAUACUCAUCUGUGCUGGUUUUCGGCUGUUUGAUCAUGUGAAAUAAAGAUGGACCUGUCGAGCUGCUGGACCUUGUGUACAUUUCGCUGAGGUAGACUAAUGCACAAUGGCCUGCUGAUUUUGCUCGUCCUGCUUGCGUGCUACUCUGUUCUCUGCUCCAGUGUCUGGCACUACCCUUUCGAGCAAGGUGAUGGCCAGGAGAGCUAUUCUCCAUUAAUAAAGCCUGCUGAGCGCCCGAUGUUUGCUUGAAUUUGUUGCCAUGCGUUUCCAGUUUUUCGCCUUUCCACUUGGAGCA
RNAcentral lists this long non-coding RNA (14812 nucleotides) under Sorghum bicolor (sorghum). Its description in RNAcentral is "long non-coding RNA (SBIC_LNC015977)". Lineage: Eukaryota; Viridiplantae; Streptophyta; Magnoliopsida; Poales; Poaceae. The record is from RNAcentral.